GAUGAACGCUGGCGGCGUGCCUAAUACAUGCAAGUCGAGCGAACAGACGAGGAGCUUGCUCCUCUGACGUUAGCGGCGGACGGGUGAGUAACACGUGGAUAACCUACCUAUAAGACUGGGAUAACUUCGGGAAACCGGAGCUAAUACCGGAUAAUAUAUUGAACCGCAUGGUUCAAUAGUGAAAGACGGUUUUGCUGUCACUUAUAGAUGGAUCCGCGCCGCAUUAGCUAGUUGGUAAGGUAACGGCUUACCAAGGCGACGAUGCGUAGCCGACCUGAGAGGGUGAUCGGCCACACUGGAACUGAGACACGGUCCAGACUCCUACGGGAGGCAGCAGUAGGGAAUCUUCCGCAAUGGGCGAAAGCCCGACGGAGCAACGCCGCGUGAGUGAUGAAGGUCUUCGGAUCGUAAAGCUCUGUUAUUAGGGAAGAACAAAUGUGUAAGUAACUAUGCACGUCUUGACGGUACCUAAACAGAAAGCCACGGCUAACUACGUG
RNAcentral lists this ribosomal RNA (497 nucleotides) under uncultured bacterium. RNAcentral describes it as "partial 16S ribosomal RNA". It matches the Rfam family "Bacterial small subunit ribosomal RNA", at positions 28 to 507 of the family's 1533-position model. The record is from RNAcentral.